Molecule: small RNA, 31 nt
Filed under: Bombyx mori (domestic silkworm)
Lineage: Eukaryota; Metazoa; Arthropoda; Insecta; Lepidoptera; Bombycidae
Description: ovarian small RNA-14387
Source: RNAcentral
CGCGCGACGGUGGUGAACCCUUCCGAGGUUC